AACGAACGCUGGCGGCAUGCCUAACACAUGCAAGUCGAACGAGACCUUCGGGUCUAGUGGCGCACGGGUGCGUAACGCGUGGGAACCUGCCCUUAGGUUCGGAAUAACUCCCCGAAAGGGGUGCUAAUACCGGAUAAUGUCUUCGGACCAAAGAUUUAUCGCCUUUGGAUGGGCCCGCGUUGGAUUAGCUAGUUGGUAGGGUAAAAGCCUACCAAGGCGACGAUCCAUAGCUGGUCUGAGAGGAUGAUCAGCCACACUGGGACUGAGACACGGCCCAGACUCCUACGGGAGGCAGCAGUGGGGAAUAUUGGACAAUGGGCGAAAGCCUGAUCCAGCAAUGCCGCGUGAGUGAUGAAGGCCUUAGGGUUGUAAAGCUCUUUUAACCGGGAUGAUAAUGACAGUACCGGGAGAAUAAGCGCCGGCUAACUCCGUG
This 433-nucleotide ribosomal RNA is filed under the name uncultured bacterium. RNAcentral's name for it is "partial 16S ribosomal RNA". It matches the Rfam family "Bacterial small subunit ribosomal RNA", at positions 29 to 507 of the family's 1533-position model. The record is from RNAcentral.